This 265-nucleotide ribosomal RNA is filed under the name uncultured archaeon. Its description in RNAcentral is "partial 16S ribosomal RNA". It matches the Rfam family "Archaeal small subunit ribosomal RNA", at positions 716 to 982 of the family's 1478-position model. The record is from RNAcentral.
AGUCACUGACAUUAGAUACCCGCGUAGUCCAGGGUGUAAACGCUGCAGACUUGGUGUUGGAAGCCCUUUGGGGGUAUUCAGUGCCGGAGAGAAGUUGUUAAGUCUGCUACUUGGGGAGUACGUCCGCAAGGAUGAAACUUAAAGGAAUUGGCGGGGGAGCACCGCAACGGGAGGAGCGUGCGGUUUAAUUGGAUUCAACACCGGAAAACUCACCAGGGGAGACUGUUACAUGAAACCCAGACUAAUGAUCUUGGUUGAUUUUCAG